RNAcentral lists this ribosomal RNA (180 nucleotides) under Clostridium botulinum. Its description in RNAcentral is "partial 23S ribosomal RNA". It matches the Rfam family "Bacterial large subunit ribosomal RNA", at positions 2749 to 2925 of the family's 2925-position model. RNAcentral also lists the same sequence under 1 other name. The record is from RNAcentral. Lineage: Bacteria; Bacillati; Bacillota; Clostridia; Eubacteriales; Clostridiaceae.
CUAAGUCGGGACGGGAUAAACGCUGAAAGCAUCUAAGCGUGAAGCCUCCUUCAAGAUGAGAUUUCCCAUAGCGUAAGCUAGUAAGACCCCUUGAAGACUACAAGGUUGAUAGGUCAGAGGUGUAAGUAUGGCAACAUAUUUAGCUGACUGAUACUAAUAGGUCGAGGGCUUGACCAAUAA